RNAcentral lists this ribosomal RNA (347 nucleotides) under Mycobacterium sinensis. RNAcentral describes it as "Mycolicibacter sinensis bacterial SSU rRNA". It matches the Rfam family "Bacterial small subunit ribosomal RNA", at positions 1179 to 1521 of the family's 1533-position model. Lineage: Bacteria; Bacillati; Actinomycetota; Actinomycetes; Mycobacteriales; Mycobacteriaceae. The record is from RNAcentral.
AUGACGUCAAAGCAUCAUGCCCCUUAUGUCCAGGGCUUCACACAUGCUACAAUGGCCGGUACAAAGGGCUGCGAUGCCGUGAGGUUUAGCGAAUCCUUUAAAGCCGGUCUCAGUUCGGAUCGGGGUCUGCAACUCGACCCCGUGAAGUCGGAGUCGCUAGUAAUCGCAGAUCAGCAACGCUGCGGUGAAUACGUUCCCGGGCCUUGUACACACCGCCCGUCACGUCAUGAAAGUCGGUAACACCCGAAGCCGGUGGCCUAACCCUUGGGAGGGAGCCGUCGAAGGUGGGAUCGGCGAUUGGGACGAAGUCGUAACAAGGUAGCCGUACCGGAAGGUGCGCUGGGAUC